Molecule: ribosomal RNA, 247 nt
Filed under: uncultured bacterium
Lineage: Bacteria
Description: partial 16S ribosomal RNA
Rfam family: Bacterial small subunit ribosomal RNA
Source: RNAcentral
GUAACACGUGGGUAACCUGCCUUAUAGUGGGGGAUAGCCUUUCGAAAGGAAGAUUAAUACCGCAUAAGAUUGUAGUAUCGCAUGAUAUAGCAAUUAAAGGAGCAAUUCGCUAUAAGAUGGACCCGCGUCGCAUUAGCUAGUUGGUGAGGUAAUGGCUCACCAAGGCGACGAGGCGUAGCCGACCUGAGAGGGUGAACGGCCACAUUGGGACUGAGACACGGCCCAGACUCCUACGGGAGGCAGCAUG